RNAcentral lists this long non-coding RNA (266 nucleotides) under Sinocyclocheilus anshuiensis. RNAcentral's name for it is "lncRNA (ENSSANG00000008540.1)". Lineage: Eukaryota; Metazoa; Chordata; Actinopteri; Cypriniformes; Cyprinidae. The record is from RNAcentral.
AUGAUUCGCUCAAGAGAAAUCGUCUGGCAUGAGGGGUUCAGGGUGUUUUUGCAGCUCUUGCUGACUGAUCAAGAGAAGCAGAAGCACUUCACGCUUGUGUUUUUGUGAUCUCCUGGCAGUUUGCUCGCGUCCCACGCUCUGAGUCAAACCUUCUAGCGCUGAUACAGGACCAGCCUCUGUAGACCCAGCAGAGCCGUCUGAGAGAGCGUGAAGCUGAGCUCAGAUCAGCAACAGACGCAGAGAAUCGAGCCUCUUCCUCAGGAAGA